RNAcentral lists this ribosomal RNA (440 nucleotides) under uncultured Hyphomicrobiales bacterium. RNAcentral's name for it is "bacterial SSU rRNA". It matches the Rfam family "Bacterial small subunit ribosomal RNA", at positions 338 to 795 of the family's 1533-position model. The record is from RNAcentral. Lineage: Bacteria; Pseudomonadati; Pseudomonadota; Alphaproteobacteria; Hyphomicrobiales.
CCUACGGGAGGCUGCAGUGGGGAAUAUUGGACAAUGGGCGCAAGCCUGAUCCAGCCAUGCCGCGUGAGUGAUGAAGGCCUUAGGGUUGUAAAGCUCUUUCAGUGGGGACGAUAAUGACGGUACCCACAGAAGAAGCCCCGGCUAACUUCGUGCCAGCAGCCGCGGUAAUACGAAGGGGGCUAGCGUUGUUCGGAUUUACUGGGCGUAAAGCGCACGUAGGCGGAUUGUUAAGUCGGGGGUGAAAUCCUGGAGCUCAACUCCAGAACUGCCUUCGAUACUGGCGAUCUUGAGUCCGGAAGAGGUGAGUGGAACUCCUAGUGUAGAGGUGGAAUUCGUAGAUAUUAGGAAGAACACCAGUGGCGAAGGCGGCUCACUGGUCCGAUACUGACGCUGAGGUGCGAAAGCGUGGGGAGCAAACAGGCUUAGAUACCCGUGUAGUC